RNAcentral lists this ribosomal RNA (797 nucleotides) under uncultured bacterium. RNAcentral's name for it is "bacterial SSU rRNA". It matches the Rfam family "Bacterial small subunit ribosomal RNA", at positions 62 to 893 of the family's 1533-position model. The record is from RNAcentral.
UCGAACGAGAAAGUGGAGCAUCCAUGAGUACAGUGGCGUACGGGUGAGUAACACGUGGGUAAUCUACCUUUUAGUGAGGAAUAACGAUGGGAAACCGUCGCUAAUACCGCAUAAGCCCGAGAGGGGAAAGUCGCAAGACGCUGAAAGAGGAGCCCGCGGCCGAUUAGCUAGUUGGUAGGGUAAGAGCCUACCAAGGCAGAGAUCGGUAGCCGGCCUGAGAGGGCACACGGCCACACUGGCACUGAAACACGGGCCAGACUCCUACGGGAGGCAGCAGUGGGGAAUCUUGCACAAUGGGGGCAACCCUGAUGCAGCGACGCCGCGUGAGCGAUGAAGCCCUUCGGGGUGUAAAGCUCUUUCGGCAGGGAAGAUUAUGACGGUACCUGCAGAAGCAGCUGCGGCUAACUACGUGCCAGCAGCCGCGGUAAUACGUAGGCAGCGAGCGUUGUUCGGAGUUACUGGGCGUAAAGGGUGUGUAGGCGGUUCUUUAAGUUUGGUGUGAAAUCUCCCGGCUCAACCGGGAGGGUGCGCCGAAUACUGAGGGACUAGAGUACGGGAGAGGAAAGUGGAAUUCCUGGUGUAGCGGUGAAAUGCGUAGAUAUCAGGAGGAACACCGGUGGUGUAGACGGCUUUCUGGACCGUAACUGACGCUGAGACACGAAAGCGUGGGUAGCAAACAGGAUUAGAUACCCUGGUAGUCCACGCCCUAAACGAUGCAUAUUUGGUGUGGGUCAUUCAGUUGAUCCGUGCCGGAGCUAACGCGUUUAAUAUGCCGCCUGGGGAGUACAGUCGCAAGG